CCUACGGGAGACAGCAGUAGGGAAUUUUCGUCAAUGGGCGGAACCCUGACCGAGCAACGCCGCGUGAACGAAGAAGUUAUUCGUAAUGUAAAGUUCUUUUAACACGGAGGUAAGAGAAAUUUGACGGUACCUUAAGAAUGUGCUCCGUCUAACUACGUGCCAGCAGCCGCGGUAAUACGUAGGGAUGGAGCGGUAGCGGGAAUUAUUGGGCGAAAGGGUUGCGUAGAUGGCAUAUAAAGUCUUCUGUAAAAAUGCUGGGCCAAACCCAGUAGGGCAAAAGAAACUGCAAGGCUAGAGUACGAGGAAGGUAAGCGGAAAUCGAGGUGUAGCGGUGAAAUGCGUAGAUAUCAGUAAGAACACCGGUGGCGAAGGCAGCAUGCGGCAGCGAUACUGACGCUGAAGCUCGAAGGCGCGGGUAGCGAACAGGAUUAGAUACCCGAGUAGUC
Molecule: ribosomal RNA, 446 nt
Filed under: uncultured bacterium
Lineage: Bacteria
Description: partial 16S ribosomal RNA
Rfam family: Bacterial small subunit ribosomal RNA
Source: RNAcentral